AGGACAACUUCUAGAAUUAUUGCUGCAAAGAUCCGGUUAUCCUCACAGGGAGUGAGUGAAAAAAAGUGGGAAGAAACUAACUUAAUUCUAAGAAAUGAGAGGAUUACAGAUCCCAGAAGAUAAUCAAGUGCUUCAAGACAGUUGAUUAAGCCAAAUUAUAUGUGGUAGAGAAAGAUUUGUGGAGCAGUUUCAGAAUAUAUACACAUGUCUGUCUGUUGAAUGUAUUCCUUCCUCUUACAGGAAGGAAUUCCUUCCAGGGUCAUUGUAUGUGAUAAAGAUCACUUGUAAAUGAAAACUUUGGAGGUUACAGAAGAAGUAAAUGUCAGAAAUGAAGGAAAAUAAUAGCAGGUAAAGGAAAGAAAGGGAGGAAUCGCAGAAAUGAGAAAAACUGAAAAGGGAAGAAAGCAGAGACCACUAAUUAGAAGUCGAGCAUCUUGGAGGAUGAAAUUAUGCCAUAAUUUUCUUCCCUUGUAAGUGAUAUAUAUAUAUAUAUGUUGGAUUGAAUUUUGUCUAUUUUAUCUUCCUUAAGGUUUGUAUGACAAGUGAGGGAUCAAAAGAAGGGAGAAAGGAAGGACAGGCAGUUUGAAAGAUGAAUAAGAUUUGAAAACUCAAGAGGAAAUUGAGGGGAGUUUUUUUGUGAUGACAGGAUACUAUUCUAGUAAGGUUUAUAUGGCAAAGGAAGUUGAUUAGUAGUUCCAUGGUGAUGAAUAUUGCAGUGAACAUUUGCAACUGGACUGCUUGACACUCAGUCUAGAAGGGAGAAGUGGAGACCAUCUUUCUUUCCAGCCCCUGGCGGCACAUGGCCCAUGGACAGUGAAUGAGAUGCUCUGAAAGUGCAGAGGUCCCUUUAGGGUUAUUAGAAACAAGUAUGUUGGAGAAGCAAGUCCAGUGGCUUGGAGGGUCGUUUUUGAUGUCUUGAGGGGAUCCUAUCAGCAGGAGAUACAGAGAGACUCCUACUGACAUCAGCCUUCAUGCACACAUAUGAAAGGAGAAACCAUGUAGCUGAUCCAGCCUGGAGACCAUCGAUGACAGCCUGGAUGAUGGACACAGAUUUCAGAAAAGGAGAGAAGCCAAAAACGUUCACUUGAGAGUGUCAUUUGAAGAGCUGUUACUCCUGUUUGUUGAUCCUGUGCCUGAAGAUUGCUCAGAGCUCUUUCCGGAAGAACAUUCGUUCCUCUGCUGUCUUAGGUGAGUGUU
RNAcentral lists this long non-coding RNA (1197 nucleotides) under Homo sapiens (human). Its description in RNAcentral is "HSALNT0252779". Lineage: Eukaryota; Metazoa; Chordata; Mammalia; Primates; Hominidae. The record is from RNAcentral.